CAGUCAGUGGGUCUUUGACUGUGGUCAGGAGCCUACAGAAAUCCCUGGCCUUCGAGAGCUUACCGGGGUGAGGGGCUGAGGCCUGUUCGCCAUAGUGGGCCUGGCACCGCUGCACCAAGAGCCGAUCAUCGGAUGUUCAUUCAUCUGGAUCUUCAGAUGCUCAUAUGGACGCAUCUGGACCCUCAGAUAGCGAUAUGCCAAGUCGAACACGACCUAAAAGCCCAAGAAAACACAAUUAUAGGAAUGAAAGUGGCCGUGAAAGCCUUUGCGAUUCUCCUCAUCAGAAUCUCUCAAGACCUCUUCUAGAAAACAAGCUUAAAGCAUUCAGUAUUGGAAAAAUGAGCACAGCAAAGCGAACUCUAAGUAAGAAGGAACAAGAGGAACUGAAGAAAAAGGAGGAUGAAAAGGCAGCUGCUGAAAUUUAUGAGGAAUUUCUUGCUGCUUUUGAAGGAAGUGAUGGUAAUAAGGUGAAAACGUUUGUUCGAGG
RNAcentral lists this long non-coding RNA (487 nucleotides) under Rattus norvegicus (Norway rat). RNAcentral describes it as "long non-coding RNA NONRATT028877". The record is from RNAcentral. Lineage: Eukaryota; Metazoa; Chordata; Mammalia; Rodentia; Muridae.